UAGGUCGUAGCCAAGUGGUAAGGCAACUCGUUUUGAUCGAGUCAUUCCGUGGGUUCGAAUCCCGCCGACUUAG
RNAcentral lists this transfer RNA (73 nucleotides) under Picobiliphyte sp. MS584-11. RNAcentral's name for it is "tRNA-Gln". It matches the Rfam family "tRNA". Rfam says of the family: Transfer RNA (tRNA) molecules are approximately 80 nucleotides in length. The record is from RNAcentral. Lineage: Eukaryota; Picozoa.